GAUGAACGCUGGCGGCGUGCCUAAUACAUGCAAGUCGAGCGAACGGACGAGAAGCUUGCUUCUCUGAUGUUAGCGGCGGACGGGUGAGUAACACGUGGAUAACCUACCUAUAAGACUGGGAUAACUUCGGGAAACCGGAGCUAAUACCGGAUAAUAUUUUGAACCGCAUGGUUCAAAAGUGAAAGACGGUCUUGCUGUCACUUAUAGAUGGAUCCGCGCUGCAUUAGCUAGUUGGUAAGGUAACGGCUUACCGAGGCAACGAUGCAAAGCCGACCUGAGAGGGUGAUCGGCCACACUGGAACUGAGACACGGUCCAGACUCCUACGGGAGGCAGCAGUAGGGAAUCUUCCGCAAUGGGCGAAAGCCUGACGGAGCAACGCCGCGUGAGUGAUGAAGGUCUUCGGAUCGUAAAACUCUGUUAUUAGGGAAGAACAUAUGUGUAAGUAACUGUGCACAUCUUGACGGUACCUAAUCAGAAAGCCACGGCUAACUACGUG
Molecule: ribosomal RNA, 497 nt
Filed under: uncultured bacterium
Lineage: Bacteria
Description: partial 16S ribosomal RNA
Rfam family: Bacterial small subunit ribosomal RNA
Source: RNAcentral